UACAGAGGGGGCAAGCGUUGUUCGGAAUUACUGGGCGUAAAGGGCGCGUAGGCGGCCCGCUAAGUCGAACGUGAAAUCCCCGAGCUCAACUCGGGAACUGCGUCCGAUACUGGCGGGCUUGAAUCCGGGAGAGGGAUGUGGAAUUCCAGGUGUAGCGGUGAAAUGCGUAGAUAUCUGGAGGAACACCGGUGGCGAAGGCGGCGAGCUGGCCCGUUUCUGACGCUGAGGCGCGACAGCGUGGGGAGCAAACAGG
Molecule: ribosomal RNA, 253 nt
Filed under: uncultured bacterium
Lineage: Bacteria
Description: partial 16S ribosomal RNA
Rfam family: Bacterial small subunit ribosomal RNA
Source: RNAcentral